This is a non-coding RNA of Musa acuminata subsp. malaccensis (wild Malaysian banana), 808 nucleotides long. Lineage: Eukaryota; Viridiplantae; Streptophyta; Magnoliopsida; Zingiberales; Musaceae. The record is from RefSeq and is a predicted model, not a curated record.
UAAAGUAUUCUUCAUCACAGAUUUGCUUCCUUUGGCUAAUCCACUUGCUGUUUCCAGGAAUGAGAGCGAGAGGUUUGUAUUCGUGCCGUCUAAUGAUUUGGAGCUGCUAAGAUCUCUGAAAGGCAUCGCAGCUACAAAUUCAAAGAGGGUUUAUCACCUUUUUGGGCAUCUUUCCAAGUAGCUCCAUCAUUAAAGCCACAUGAUCCUGCAAUGGUAUCUACUGGUAAUUGAGUCGAUUAUAACUUCUACUGUCGAUCAAUCGGAAGGAUUUGAUUCCUCUUCUCUUCCUCAUCCGACUCCGACUCCGCCUUCCUCCAGCCCGGGUGUUGGCGGCGAUGGCAGCUCCGUGGCACCGAGGGAGUCGGUCACAUUCGCAAGGCGAAGCAGCUGAUCCGAUUGGUGAACGUGGAGGCGCUUGAACAGAGGCCGCUACCUUUGUCCGCAUCUUAGAUGACGCCAAUGUCGUCCUCUUGUUCAGAGACAAGUGGGAAAGAUGAUGGAGGAAGCUUCGUACAUGAAGAUGAUAAUGAACGAGUAGAUAGAGGUCCUGAGGAGGCAAAUCUCCGCCUACGCCACCAUCUCCGAGCAACUGAUGGAGAUACACAGGGCCAUCAAAACACUGCAAGACUCAUUCUCAUGUUUUCUCUCCUAAAAAUUUGAUUUUUGGUUUAAGAUAGAGUUGAAUUGGCAUUUUUUUGUGAUAAUUCUCUGUUUUAGCAUAGAAGGGUAGGUCCUGAGUAAUGGAAAACUUGAUUUGUUGCUUGAAUAUUCAUUUCAUCGAAUCAAGCUAAUUCUAUUGGGUAUCAUU